Long non-coding RNA from Haemorhous mexicanus (house finch), 1052 nucleotides. RefSeq lists it as uncharacterized. Lineage: Eukaryota; Metazoa; Chordata; Aves; Passeriformes; Fringillidae. The record is from RefSeq and is a predicted model, not a curated record. The transcript is spliced from 2 exons.
UGCGUCCUUCUGCCUGGAAGGGUUGUGACACAGGGAAGUGAGGAAGGGGCUGGCCGGGGUCAGCCUCUGCUGAGCCUCAGCUCUGGCUGCUGCUCCUGCUUCCCGGGUACACCCAAAAGCUGUCAUGAUCAAAAGAGCAGGCAGCCCUUCUGUCCUGAGUCACAGGGGCCAUUUCUUCCUGAGUGACUCAAGAUGGGAAAUCAUUCUUGGAGCUUCAAAAGAAAAAAAAAAAAAACCUCACGCAAUCAUUUGUAAGUGUGUAUAUAUACACAUAGAUUUCCUUCAAUGAAGAAGAAAAUCUUAGAAAUAUCAUGUCACGUCUGGCUUCCUAGAGAAAAUCCUUAUCUCUGGGCUUCUGAAAUCAAAUGUCUGUGCAUUUAUAGAGCAUUUCCCCUCUUUUUAUGUGCCUCCCACAGUGAUCUUCUACCCUGCCCCACGGCAAGAAGAGUUUGGUGAUUUUGCUGCUCUGCUCUCUCAAGGGUGUUGCAGGCUGCGUAGCAGGGAGUGAAGCCCUUGUCGCUGCUCAUCAGACACUUUCCUACAGAAUUCUCCCUGCAGUGAUAAAAUUAGACUGGUGUUAGUGAGCUGCCAAGUAGAGCAGGUAACAUUGGACAAGAAUGGUUUCUGAGCUGCUGUUCACUAGCACGUGUUUCCCCUUUCCAGCGCGGUGCCGCCGCCCAAGAAAGGAUUUUUGUGGGUCAGCCAGAUGUGCUCCUGCCUCCCACUGAGGCUCUGAGAUGGAGCCGAGUUUGCAUUCCAGUUUAUUGCAACAGAGGGUCACGGGAAAUUUCCUCAGCUAUCUCAGGCACAGAGCCAUGGAAGCAAGACAGCACGAAGACUGAACGUGUAAGAAGAUGUGGGGUGCAAUGGAGAACCUGGCAGGAGCAUCCGACGCACACGUGCACGAGUUUUGCUUUUUGCUUGGAUUGAAACUCAAAAGUUGUAAGGAAUUUGGGAAUGAGAUGGGACGUUUCAGAAGAAGAGGAAGGAGGAGAAGAAGUUGUUGUUACAGUCCUGGCAAAAUCCUUUGUUCUAGCUAAUAAAAGAAGUUA